UACGGAGGGGGCUAGCGUUGUUCGGAAUUACUGGGAGUAAAGCGCACGUAGGUGGACUUAUAAGUCAGGGGUGAAAUCCCAGGGCUCAACCACGGAAAUGCCUUUGAUACUGGCUAUCUUGAGUUCGGGAGAGGUGAGUGGAAUUCCUAGUGUAGAGGUGAAAUUCGUAGAUAUUAUGAAGAACACCAGUGGCGAAGGCGGCUCACUGGGCUGGUACUGACGCUCAUGUGCGAAAGCGUGGGGAGCGAACAGG
RNAcentral lists this ribosomal RNA (253 nucleotides) under uncultured bacterium. RNAcentral describes it as "partial 16S ribosomal RNA". It matches the Rfam family "Bacterial small subunit ribosomal RNA", at positions 524 to 776 of the family's 1533-position model. The record is from RNAcentral.